UGGUAGUAGCGAUCCACCCAGGCGAGAACCCUGAGGGCCGAAGUGGAGAAGGGUUUCUCGAGAACGGCACUCGCUCGAGAGUUAGUCGAUCCUAAGCUGCCGGCGGCAGCCACGAAACGGUCGAUCGGGCGCGAGCCCGGCAGCCACGACCGGGCAGCGAAAAGGGAAUUGGGAACCUCCUUCCCAAACCCGGAACCGGAACGAGGGCGGCGACGCGAACGAAACGGCCGCGGAGACGGCGGCCGCGGCCCCGGAGAGAGUUCUCUUUUCUGUGCGACUGGGACGUCCGGCCCCGGAAUCGCGUCGAGCGGAGGGGGGGUCGGAGUUCAGGAAUAGCACCCCGGCCUUUCGGGGUGUCCGGGCGGCCGCGGUCGUCCCAUGAAAAUCCGCGGAUGAACGAGUAGGCGACGGUCCGGGUCGUACCAAUGACCGCAUCGGGUCUCCAAGGUUGAAAGCCUCUGGCUAACGGGAC
RNAcentral lists this ribosomal RNA (472 nucleotides) under uncultured eukaryote. Its description in RNAcentral is "eukaryotic LSU rRNA". It matches the Rfam family "Eukaryotic large subunit ribosomal RNA", at positions 1455 to 1896 of the family's 3401-position model. The record is from RNAcentral.